CCAGCGCCAGGCCGGGCCGGCGCGUGCCGAAGCCGCGCCUCGGAACAGUGCUGUGGCCGCCAUCUUGAACACCAUAUUAGGGAUGAAACCGCCAGGCUUACGCAUGCUAGGGGCUUCCUCCCCUUUCUGGGGCAUCUUUGAACAUGGCCUCUCCACCCCAGCCCUCUGCAAACUCCAUGAGCAUCGGCCAGUUGGCUGAGGCCCUGGAAACGGAUGGAGCUGAGACAAGGCAUGUCCUGCCAUGGGGGGUGGGGGGUCUGGCUGAUAGGAGUCAGGCAGAUUCAGAUCCUGUGUGCUGGUCUCUCCCCGUCCCCUUCGCCAUCAGUCCAAAGUCUGGCGUUUCCCAAAAAAGGAGCCAUUCUGACUCUGCACAGCCCAGGGCCAUGAGCGCCCAGAUAUCUGAGCAAACCUUGGUCUGUAGCUCAUAGUGAUGUACUGUGGACUCCAUAAAGUGCUAAAAGGGAGUCACUCCAAGCUCCCAGUGCUAAGAAUGCGUAAGGAGGAGAUGGGAUGCCUAGUUUACUGCCACUGUAGACACCUCCCCAGUCAUCACACUGUACCAUACGAACACCUAUAAUUGUAUGUCACUUAAAAAAAAAAUUGGGGGGCCAGGGAUUUAGCUCAGUGGUUCCGCCACCUGCUUCGCAAGCGCAA
This is a non-coding RNA of Heterocephalus glaber (naked mole-rat), 654 nucleotides long. NCBI's taxonomy places the organism in Eukaryota, Metazoa, Chordata, Mammalia, Rodentia, Bathyergidae. The record is from RefSeq and is a predicted model, not a curated record.